UGCAGUCGAGCGAAGCUUUCGGGCUUAGCGGCGGACGGGUGAGUAACGCGUGGGAACGUGCCCUUUGGUACGGAAUAGUCCUGGGAAACUGGGUUUAAUACCGUAUAUUCUCUACGGAGGAAAGAUUUAUCGCCAAAGGAUCGGCCCGCGUUGGAUUAGGUAGUUGGUGGGGUAAUGGCCUACCAAGCCGACGAUCCAUAGCUGGUUUGAGAGGAUGAUCAGCCACACUGGGACUGAGACACGGCCCAGACUCCUACGGGAGGCAGCAGUGGGGAAUCUUAGACAAUGGGGGCAACCCUGAUCUAGCCAUGCCGCGUGAUCGAUGAAGGCCUUAGGGUUGUAAAGAUCUUUCGCUGGGGAAGAUAAUGACGGUACCCAGUAAAGAAGCCCCGGCUAACUCCGUGCCAGCAGCCGCGGUAAUACGGAGGGGGCUAGCGUUGUUCGGAAUUACUGGGCGUAAAGCGCGCGUAGGCGGAUUGGAAAGUUGGGGGUGAAAUCCCGGGGCUCAACCCCGGAACUGCCUCCAAAACUAUCAGUCUGGAGUUCGAGAGAGGUGAGUGGAAUUGCGAGUGUAGAGGUGAAAUUCGUAGAUAUUCGCAGGAACACCAGUGGCGAAGGCGGCUCACUGGCUCGAUACUGACGCUG
This 645-nucleotide ribosomal RNA is filed under the name bacterium SVAL2.6. RNAcentral's name for it is "bacterial SSU rRNA". It matches the Rfam family "Bacterial small subunit ribosomal RNA", at positions 56 to 748 of the family's 1533-position model. The record is from RNAcentral.